UGUGAACUGCAGGACACAUGAACAUCGAUAAGUUGAACGCAUAUUGCGCAUCGGGCGACACAGCUCGAUGCACAUAUCUUUGAGUGUCCAUAUUUGAUCAGUGAUGAAACUACGCGCGCCUUCACCGGCGAACGUGCACAAUGGGGUAGCGCUAACACCGUUGCCCUUAAAAACGUGGAGCGUGUUCAACCGUCUUGCGCACCUGCCAACGGUGACCGGCACAGUGGACCCUCACCCACACCCCAUCGCACGAUGUCGUGAUGUGUGUACGGAAUGUCCCAAACUGCCUACCGGACCAGGUCGGAGACGUGCGAUAUCGCAACACCGCUGAUAGGCGCCAGUCGCCAAGCCACUCCUUCAGUGGAGCAUAUGGACCUCAAAUGAUGUGUGACUACCCCCUGAAUUUAAGCAUA
This is a ribosomal RNA of 413 nucleotides. The stretch from base 1 to 89 matches the Rfam family "5.8S ribosomal RNA", at positions 66 to 154 of the family's 154-position model.